GAUCCUGGCUCAGGACGAACGCUGGCGGCGUGCCUAAUACAUGCAAGUAGAACGCUGAAGGAAGGAGCUUGCUCUUUCCGGAUGAGUUGCGAACGGGUGAGUAACGCGUAGGUAACCUGCCUGGUAGCGGGGGGAUAACUAUUGGAAACGAUAGCUAAUACCGCAUAACAGUAGAUAUCGCAUGAUAGCUGCUUGAAAGGUGCAAUUGCACCACUACCAGAUGGACCUGCGUUG
Molecule: ribosomal RNA, 234 nt
Filed under: uncultured bacterium
Lineage: Bacteria
Description: partial 16S ribosomal RNA
Rfam family: Bacterial small subunit ribosomal RNA
Source: RNAcentral